Molecule: ribosomal RNA, 282 nt
Filed under: Salmonella enterica subsp. salamae
Lineage: Bacteria; Pseudomonadati; Pseudomonadota; Gammaproteobacteria; Enterobacterales; Enterobacteriaceae
Description: partial 23S ribosomal RNA
Rfam family: Bacterial large subunit ribosomal RNA
Source: RNAcentral
GGGUUGUGAGGUUAAGCGACUAAGCGUACACGGUGGAUGCCCUGGCAGUCAGAGGCGAUGAAGGACGUGCUAAUCUGCGAAAAGCGUCGGUAAGGUGAUAUGAACCGUUAUAGCCGGCGAUGUCCGAAUGGGGAAACCCAGUGCAAUUCGUUGCACUAUCGUUAACUGAAUACAUAGGUUAACGAGGCGAACCGGGGGAACUGAAACAUCUAAGUACCCCGAGGAAAAGAAAUCAACCGAGAUUCCCCCAGUAGCGGCGAGCGAACGGGGAGGAGCCCAGAG